GACGAACGCUGGCGGCGUGCUUAACACAUGCAAGUCGAGGGCGGGGAGCAAUCCCCGACCGGCGAACGGGUGCGUAACACGUGAGCGACCUACCUUGUGGCGGGGGAUAGCCGGCCCAACGGCCGGGUAAUACCGCAUACGCUCUGUUGGGGGCAUUCCUGGCAGAGGAAACUUUCGAGGCCACUAGAGGGGCUCGCGGCCUAUCAGCUAGUUGGCGGGGUAAUGGCCCACCAAGGCAGUGACGGGUAGCUGGUCUGAGAGGAUGGCCAGCCACAUUGGGACUGAGAGACGGCCCAGACUCCUACGGGAGGCAGCAGUGGGGAAUCUUGCGCAAUGGCCUAACGGCCUGACGCAGCGACGCCGCGUGGGGGAGGAAGGGCUUCGGCUCGUAAACCCCUGUUGCCCGGGGCGAACAGCUUCUUUCGAGGAGCCUGACGGUACCGGGUGAGGAAGCACCGGCUAACUCCGUGCCAGCAGCCGCGGUAAUACGGAGGGUGCGAGCGUUGUCCGGAAUCACU
Molecule: ribosomal RNA, 518 nt
Filed under: uncultured bacterium
Lineage: Bacteria
Description: bacterial SSU rRNA
Rfam family: Bacterial small subunit ribosomal RNA
Source: RNAcentral